This 377-nucleotide ribosomal RNA is filed under the name uncultured bacterium. RNAcentral's name for it is "bacterial SSU rRNA". It matches the Rfam family "Bacterial small subunit ribosomal RNA", at positions 521 to 896 of the family's 1533-position model. The record is from RNAcentral.
UAAUACAGAGGGUGCGAGCGUUGUCCGGAAUCACUGGGCGUAAAGGGCGCGUAGGCGGUUGGGCAAGCGUGUGGUGAAAGCCCGGGGCUCAACCCCGGGUCGGCCAUGCGAACUGCCCGACUGGAGCACGGUAGAGGCCAAUGGAAUUCCGGGUGUAGCGGUGGAAUGCGUAGAGAUCCGGAAGAACACCGGUGGCGAAGGCGGUUGGCUGGGCCGUGGCUGACGCUGAGGCGCGACAGCGUGGGGAGCAAACAGGAUUAGAUACCCUGGUAGUCCACGCCGUAAACGAUGGGCACUAGGUCCUUGGGGGAGCGACCCCGUGAGGGCCGGCGCUAACGCAUUAAGUGCCCCGCCUGGGGAGUACGGCCGCAAGGCUG